UGUGGGAUACUGGAAGAGGACCCGCAGAUACACGCCAGGGCAAUGUGUGUCCCUAAUAUGGAAAAAGAAGCAUGGUACAGGGAGGAUGAGGCAACCAUGGCUGAUUAAGUCUACUGAUAGUUGUACUUUUCCUUUGGACCAUUGAAGUCAAAUUGAAAACAGAAGAUAGUAAUGACAAGUAUUAAAUUAGAAACAGCAGAGAGAGAGAGAGUGUGUGUGUGAAUAUACAACUGAAAGAUAGAGGUAGCAAGGUAACAGUUAGGUGCUCAUGUUGAGAUGGAAGAGACGCAAUUUGUCAAGUUUAUAAUAAAAGUUGAAAGAUUCACCGAGAAAUGGCUACAGGGAGGGACUUUAAUUCAUCCCUUACCUUGAAAGUCAGUUUGAACAGUAAAGUUUAUCUGGCUGGAAAGAGAAACAAUAAUUUUGUGAGAAGCAAAUAAAGUCGAUAUAAGAGACAGAACAAUAAACAACUGUGGCUGGGUUAUUUUUGAUCAUCGUAGAAGUUAAUAGGGAUAAUUAGCCUGAAAGUGUGUUUAUUCAGUGUUUUCAGGUUGUUUGUUGCAAGAUUAGUGAAAACUUGAAACAUCAUCAUCCCUUUCGUCAUUCAUUGGAAGUUCUACUUUCUUUUUAAAGUUAUUGGUCUUUACGAGGAUCGUGGCAAAUAUAGCUUGAACAGACCAUUUAGGUCAACUCACCUACUCAUGUUUACAAAAACACAAGUUGCUGGAA
Long non-coding RNA from Rhincodon typus (whale shark), 729 nucleotides. RefSeq lists it as uncharacterized. The transcript is spliced from 3 exons. The record is from RefSeq and is a predicted model, not a curated record. Lineage: Eukaryota; Metazoa; Chordata; Chondrichthyes; Orectolobiformes; Rhincodontidae.